AUUAUUUGAUAAUCAGAUCUAUCUCUCAAAACCGUAUAUAGAUCUAAACCUGUAUCUGACACCCUUGAUUAGAUUCUCUAUUCCAGCACAUCAUAUCCUAUUACAUCUGAAUGCAAAAAUGGAAACACAACCCCCAAAAUUAGUAAUUUUGCUUUUACAUCUACUCAAAGCAAGUCCGGUGGUCAAUAAUCAUCUGAAACAUUGACCCAACCCUAUUCACGUUAUUCAUACUAGGCUUUACAUUUAUUUAUUUUGAAUGUCAAAUUAUACGUUUUCAUAUAAUCCAUUUUUCACGUUUAUAUAACUACUGAGUUUAAGGUCGACUAGGCUUACGCAAGAGACGUGAACAGGCAAUGCGAGCAACUACUGAGUUUUUUUUUUAUAACUUAUAGAAAAUGCGACGUCUUCUCCGUUUGAGUUAUUAUGGAGGUAUAAUAGUAGUUAAUUAAAAACCAAUAAUAUGAAAAAGACAAGUCGAUUUAAUAUAGAGGCUUUAAGAAUUCGGCAACAGGCGUGAAAACCAUGUGAUAUUUACGUGGAUCAAGGCGAUGACCAAGAAUGAGAAGAACGUGAGAUGCAUUUAAUUUUCUUGGAUCUUUUAUUUUCCAAAAUAACGCCUCCACUUUCUUCUUUUUUUCAAUUUUUGCCUGCACUUCUUUGUGUAUUAAAUUUUUUCAUCAUCUCGCACAACACAAACUAAAACACUCUGUAAAUAGAGGUUUCACUAUUGACAUACAUUGUCACAUUAUCAUCAACAACUAAACUAGGGGUCAUGAAAUUCUCGUAUGCAAAAGCGAGUAACAACAACUUGGUUUGGUUAUGGAAAAUGGAGUCACGAGUGGGUUAUAAUAUAUGGCGGUGGUGGGAAAAACAUAGCAAAAAGCGGGGACCGCGUGAUUCACGUGCUUAAAGAAUCCUUUAACUCAGACGCGGGUCCUACCUUCCCCUAAGUCAACAACGACAACAAUCUCCAAGUCUAAGACAGCUCAUGUUGAAAAUGGGCCAGUGUUACGGACGGAUUUAUUCAAUGAGCCUAUUGUUCUAUUGGGUAGGAUAUGGGCUGAGAUAGCCGUACUAGGUUAGCAUUUCUUAAUGACCCAUCUACUCAUAUUUAGCAUUUCAAAUUAUAAUGGGCUGGGUCUUGCUAAAAUCAUAUAUCUAUCUAAUAUAUGCAUAGACUAUAGUAAUUUUAUCUAUCAAAUCCUUAACUUUUAUUUUUAAAUGAUCAAGUUUGGUUAGACCUUUACAAGAGAUUGUAAAAAGUUGACUGAGAUAGAUGCUCUGUUGUAGAUAAGGCAUAUUUUGAACGGCAACUAUGAAACUUGUAAAUGGUACAUAUUACAGCAUAGAAAUAUCUGCACAGCGAACUAGAAUAACGAAUACUUUGUUUAUAUCGUCCGUUUAUAGCCAACAUAAUCACUCCGACACUCUUCACGGCUAAAUGUAAUUUUAUUUGUACACUCUUAUUUUCUAGGAAUCACAAAUUGGCGUCCACACAAUUGAGCAAGCAGAUAUCUAUAUUCACUUGUCAAAAUGGAAUCCGUGUUUAACUUCUACAAAAAUCGUCACCUUUUUAGUAACAACCAAAACAUAAUCAUAUAAAACUACUUUACAUCACGAAAAGGAAAAAGCACCGACCAAAACUUAAUGCUCAUCGUAAGGAAAAGACAAAAAAAAAAAACUGAAAUCUCAUCGGACAAUUAAAAACACGUCAACAUACAUUGUUACAAUUUCAGUUACUUCGUGUUUACAAAACGAGCAAGUGUAGAAAUUGGUUCAAGAAAGCACCUGAAGACAACCCGAUAUAUCUCUAACUGGUAGUAAAGCCGUAAAUUAUCUGAUGUAAGAAGAACGAGUGUUUUGUAACUCCUCUUGCUAGCUAUUUCCCAAUUGAGAGUAUAUAUAUUAUAUUUUCUUCACAGUAUUACAUGUACGUGGAUCAACUGUAAAUAUUUUUUUUUUUGUAAAAAAUCAAGUUUAAAAAUUUCCUUGUUUAUAUGUGUGAUAUUUAUUGGUUUAUAUAUACGUGAUGGUUUAAAAAGUUGAAGCCAUAUAUUUCAGGUGAUACUUAUCAAGUGCCCUUUAGAUGUUAAUAGAUAAAUAAAUCACCGUACGAAGACGUGAGUUUUCUUGUGAUAGUCAUAUUCUUCUUGAAAUCCAUAUAUGGUUCAUUCAUAUAAGCUUAGAGCAUCAUUAGUAAUGGUUUCUAAAUCAAAUCUCUGAAUAAUAAAUUUAAUAGUAUUUUAACAUAAGAAAGUUUAAAAUUAAAACAAAAAAAUGUUAAAAUUUGCUGGAUAAAAACGUGUAGAAAAAAUAUCUUCAGCAAGGUGAAAAGUCUCUUUUUCCCGAAACGUUCUUCUACUUUUCUAUAGUUUCUCUCCUGCUUUUGAUUUUUAUAUUAUUUUUUACUAUCAGAAACUCUUACGAGAAUAGACCAUUGCGCAUGGCCUUAGAGCAGCAUUAACGCAAGCUCCUAACCACGUCUCUUAGCAUUAAUGGGAUUUAAAAAAAAAGGAAAUUAGUAUAAUGGAGAGAAGACGUAUCUUAAUUAGGAGAAAUAAGAGACGUGUUUUCUUGGACACGUGUUGUGUUUUGCGGGCUUUGUGACUCUCUCCUUCGCUCCAUUUCGUUGCCGCGUCUCUCCAUCUCUCCUCGACGACUCCGGUGAUUUCUUCAUCUCGUCACGAUCGGAUGAAGGAUUAGGCGUCACUCUCGAUUCCUCACGUUUUCGUCUACGAAGACUCUCGGUUCCUCUCCUACCUCACCGUCGACCGUAGUCACUAACGGAAGGAGCUUCGAUCCUCAUCUCGAUCCAUAUCCACUCGAGCAGAUCUCUCUUCCCACCGCGAUGUCGAAAGCUCCGACGUGAACGUGAUCCGUCCCAAAGAGUAUUGGGAUUACGAGUCUCUCAAUGUUGAGUGGGGAGCUCUGAACAAUCUUGGGAGCAUCUACAUCGAUUGUUCGAUGCUAGAUCAAGCUGAAACUGCAUACAGGAACGCUCUAGAGAUCAAACACAUUCGUGCUCAUCAAGGCCUAGCAAGAGUUUACUUCCUGAAGAUUCAACGUAAAAGAAGCGUGCGAGGAGAUGACAAAGCUGAUUGAGAAGGCGUUUAGCAAAUCAGCAGCCUAUGAGAAACGGUCUGAGUACUGCGAACGUGAAAAAGCCAAAGAGGAUCUCGACAUGGCCACAACACUUGACCCUCUUCGAACCUAUCCUUACAGAUACCGAGCUGCUGGUAAACUAAACUCUUCUCUUUGCCUGUUGAUGUAAAGAUCGUAGUUGCUCUUUGUAUCGUUUACAAUCGGUAGAUAGAUCUAGGAAAGCAAUGAAGUUGUGUUUUCUUGGGAAUCGGAUAAGCUCGUACCAUUGUCGUCUCUGUCUUGUGCUGUUCCCUCAUAGUGGCUUCAAUACAUCAUUUUUAUGUUCCCUUAUAGUGGCUUCAAUAAAAAUGAUUUUUGAGUUUUA
Long non-coding RNA from Brassica napus (rape), 3466 nucleotides. RefSeq lists it as uncharacterized. Lineage: Eukaryota; Viridiplantae; Streptophyta; Magnoliopsida; Brassicales; Brassicaceae. The record is from RefSeq and is a predicted model, not a curated record. The transcript is spliced from 2 exons.